Molecule: ribosomal RNA, 1429 nt
Filed under: Neoascochyta exitialis
Lineage: Eukaryota; Fungi; Ascomycota; Dothideomycetes; Pleosporales; Didymellaceae
Description: eukaryotic LSU rRNA
Rfam family: Eukaryotic large subunit ribosomal RNA (bases 495-1429)
Source: RNAcentral
AACAAGGUUUCCGUAGGUGAACCUGCGGAAGGAUCAUUACCGAGAGUUGCAGGCUUUUGUCUGCCAUCUCUUACCCAUGUCUUUUGCGUACUACACGUUUCCUCGGCAGGUCCGCCUGCCGUUAGGACCACAUUAAACCAUUUGCAGUUGCAGUCAGCGUCUGAAAAACUUAAUAAUUACAACUUUUAACAACGGAUCUCUUGGUUCUGGCAUCGAUGAAGAACGCAGCGAAAUGCGAUAAGUAGUGUGAAUUGCAGAAUUCAGUGAAUCAUCGAAUCUUUGAACGCACAUUGCGCCCCUUGGUAUUCCAUGGGGCAUGCCUGUUCGAGCGUCAUUUGUACCUUCAAGCUCUGCUUGGUGUUGGGUGUUUGUCCCGCCUUUGUGCGCGGACUCGCCUUAAAGCAAUUGGCAGCCGGCGUAUUAGUUUCGGAGCGCAGCACAAAUCGCGCUCUGUGUCUUAUACGGUAGCAUCCAUCAAGACUAUUUUACACUCUUGACCUCGGAUCAGGUAGGGAUACCCGCUGAACUUAAGCAUAUCAAUAAGCGGAGGAAAAGAAACCAACAGGGAUUGCCCUAGUAACGGCGAGUGAAGCGGCAACAGCUCAAAUUUGAAAUCUGGCGUCUUUGGCGUCCGAGUUGUAAUUUGCAGAGGGCGCUUUGGCGUUGGCAGCAGUCUAAGUUCCUUGGAACAGGACGUCACAGAGGGUGAGAAUCCCGUACGUGGUUGCUGGCCUUCGCCGUGUAAAGCCCCUUCGACGAGUCGAGUUGUUUGGGAAUGCAGCUCUAAAUGGGAGGUAAAUUUCUUCUAAAGCUAAAUACUGGCCAGAGACCGAUAGCGCACAAGUAGAGUGAUCGAAAGAUGAAAAGCACUUUGGAAAGAGAGUCAAACAGCACGUGAAAUUGUUAAAAGGGAAGCGCUUGCAGCCAGACUUGCCUGUAGUUGCUCAUCCGGACUUUUGUCCGGUGCACUCUUCUAUAGGCAGGCCAGCAUCAGUUUGGGCGGUUGGAUAAAGGUCUCUGUCAUGUACCUCUCUUCGGGGAGAACUUAUAGGGGAGACGACAUGCAACCAGCCUGGACUGAGGUCCGCGCAUUUGCUAGGAUGCUGGCGUAAUGGCUGUAAGCGGCCCGUCUUGAAACACGGACCAAGGAGUCUAACAUCUAUGCGAGUGUUUGGGUGUCAAGCCCGAACGCGUAAUGAAAGUGAACGGAGGUGGGAACCCCUCGGGGUGCACCAUCGACCGAUCCUGAUGUCUUCGGAUGGAUUUGAGUAAGAGCAUAGCUGUUGGGACCCGAAAGAUGGUGAACUAUGCUUGAAUAGGGUGAAGCCAGAGGAAACUCUGGUGGAGGCUCGCAGCGGUUCUGACGUGCAAAUCGAUCGUCAAAUUUGGGCAUAGGGGCGAAAGACUAAUCGAACUAUCUAGUAGCUGG